AAUGAACUUGGGGACAGACAACUACCUGAACUGCAAAAUAGCUGAAUAACUUUAUGGGCACAGACUUAGAAGGAAACAUGUUUAGUUCAGAGGCGGCCAGCAAAGAUGAGCCCUAGUGAAGCUGCGGGCUUUGGUGAAGACUCAGAGGAGUCACACUUCAAAAAUCGGGGGACAGGAAAUAACUCAGCUUCCUUAGGGAUUGGCCUGCUGUGAACAAUCUCACUAGCAGAACUGAUGCAGGGAUCCAGUACUACUGGCGCCCCUACCCACUUUCCAGAAAUAAAUUUCUGUGGUUUCUGCAGCAAGAUCAUUGAUUUUUUCCCUACACAUUCUUGAUCCAUGUGUGGUCCUGAACAAAAAUGACCUAAUUCCUGGAUGACAAGACAACGUGAUGGGACUGAAACCCAUGCGCCAAUGUAAAUGGAUCCCAAGCAGAUCCAGAUAUCAAUGUUAUUAAUGCUGAUACUUUCCCUCUUCCACCCCAAAUACAUGACACAAUGUGUGACAAGCACUUAGGACAGAAAGGAAAAUGUGGGUGACAGAGAGCAACAAAGCUCUUCUGAAAUACUACAUGGAGUUGGCUGUCUGCUGAAUUCAUACAGAGUUAUGGCACAUCAGGUGCCGUGAUUUUUUUCCAGACUGCUACAAACAAAAUAAAAGCCACCAAAUGAGAAAAAGAAUAAAACAUGGCUAGAGCUAAAGCACAAGCAACAACAGAAAUAACAGUUGAUGUUUAAAAAAAGAGCAAAAAGAGCUCUGCAGACCUCAGUUCUCCUGAUAAAUUCUAGCUCAAUCAAAUCUAGGCAUGACCCGGUUUUGACACCAUUAACAUAUUUCCCCAUUCUAAAGUUUCAAAGGAUGAUGAGAGGCUGAGGCCAGCCCUAAACUCUUGCCAGGAUAUUAGAAUAUCAUCAUGCUAUCAAAAAGCCACUUAGGAACCUCUGAGCUUCCCUGUCCCUUGUCACCCAGCCCCACAGGCGGGGAAGUGAAAAGGAAUAUGAACACACCAAAUACUUAAUAUUUGUGUUUCUGUGUGAAGGCAAGUUUUCUCCAGUGGCAGGGAGAGGGGCAAAUACUCAUUUAGAAAUAAAUUCCAAAGUAUUCUGUUCUUCCAGAAAAGAUCUGCCCUCAAGAGGAACGAAGAGCCUAACUGGGGAUUUCCCAAAGAGUAAGCAAUACAGGUGAGGGAAAAUACUCAACUCCAGGGCUCUCACCUUCCUGUCUCACCUGGGAGUAAAUUCAGACUAACCCCUAGCCAGAUAAAUAUAAAAACCUCACACUCACGUCCUAUUCACCUCAGUUCCUUUACCAGCACAUAACAUUUGCCUUUCAACACAACUUACAAGGCAUAGUAAAGUAAAAACCACACAGUUUGAACACAGAUAGUAAGCAUUAGAAUUACACUUCCUAUGGCAGAGAUGUAGGAAUUAUCAUCCUGGGAACUUAAAACCACUUCCAUUCCUAUGAUAAUGCAGAUAAUGAAAAAAGUGGACAACAUG
Molecule: long non-coding RNA, 1499 nt
Organism: Leopardus geoffroyi (Geoffroy's cat)
Lineage: Eukaryota; Metazoa; Chordata; Mammalia; Carnivora; Felidae
Exons: 2
Source: RefSeq, a predicted model, not a curated record